This is a long non-coding RNA of Notothenia coriiceps (black rockcod), 1175 nucleotides long. RefSeq lists it as uncharacterized. The record is from RefSeq and is a predicted model, not a curated record. Lineage: Eukaryota; Metazoa; Chordata; Actinopteri; Perciformes; Nototheniidae. The transcript is spliced from 3 exons.
AUAGUGACAUCACAUGGGAGAGUGACGGAGAGCCGUGGAAAACAAGAAUGGUUGUAGAAGAAGAAAGAGGAGAUGACAACCCAGGAAUGGACAACUAGUUUAGUGCAGACAAGACCACCCCGUAGAAGGCAACAUGUGAUAUGAUCCUCGGGAGACAAAGGAAAUUACCUAUUAAGUGGAAGGGAUGAUCUUCCUUUAGCCACGCUCCAAAAAAGACAGAUGUCAUCGCCCCAAACAGUCUGAGUCACUGCACGCCUCCACACCCCUGAGUAACCCAAGGACAUCAGGGGAAGGGAGGACUGUCAUUUUUACAUUUCAGACAUUUAGUUGAUGCUCUUAGUCAUGGUGGCGGUGUCUUGCUCAAGGACACGUGGAUGGGAACAGUAAUGUAAUGAAAUCAAUCAAAAAAGAGGGUUUGUGUUUGUGACCUCCGGGUAUUCUUCUUCUUUUGGAGAGUACAAUUGAUAAAAGAUAGAUGGAAAAGCCCCAAAACGUGCUGCACUGUAACGCACUUAUCGAUUUAGGUCGGGAAGACGUAUCUCCGUGUAAACAGGUGUUAUUCUGUGAACUCUACUUCUACCUUUUUGAACCUGUGACCUCAAUAUACUCUCUGUAUCCUGUAGUGUGUAACCCUUAAAUGGUUUCUGUAUCCUGGAGGAUACAUUGCCAAGAUAACGUUAUGAAACAGAGAUAAUUACUCACACAUAUACUUGUGUUUUGAAGCAUACACAAAAUAUAACAUAGCAUAUGACACCUCUUCUGUGCAAUACGUAUCGCUUUGUGAUUAGCAUUAUGAAAACUGGACGUUAUCUCUUAGUUAGACUAUUCGAUUACUGUGACAUCAAUAAUAACUGUGAUAACUGUGCAAUAUCCUUUCAUUUGUACUACUGGCUGCUCUCACACUACUUUCUACAUGCCACACUUAUGUUUUUGAAUACUGCUCCUGGAAUAAAGUCAAUUUCCCCUCUUUGGGAGGAGAAUUCUGAUUAUGAUAUUACUCAGAUAAUCAGGUAUCAUAAAAAGGUGUAAUAACAAUUUAAUGUAUGUGUAAAAGCAGUCAAAAUAAUGGAUGUAAUAUGGUUUUAAUAUCAGUGUAACAUGGGUGGAAUAAAGGUUGAAUAUGGAUGUAGUUGAGGUGUAAUAUGGGUGUACUCUGGGUUCAAUAAUAUACCCUA